GCCGACUACCGGCGCYGUGUCCCGUGGAUGUUGUGGCUAGUGUCACUGUUGCCUCGRAAGUGCUUGCGUGUUGGUACCCGGACAACGGGAAUUGGUGCUUCGUAAAGGUUGCCUCGCGGUGGACACCUUUGGUGUUCCGCUGCGGCCAUAUGGCGCUAGCGGUGUUGCCUCGUGGUGCUGGCACGUUUACGUGCCCGGUGCUAUCACGGCAGCCUCGCGCACGCCGUUGGUCUYGGAUGUUGCCCACGAUAAACUGUCAUGGCCCUUUUGGUUGCCUUGUCCCGACCCUAAGAAGCUCUCCGAAUUUGAGAACAACCGGAACAGGUGUUGCCUCUACCUCUCCACAGUUAGUGGUAGGAUACGUAACAUUUUGCGCCGAUCCUCAAUCCAGUAGGACGAGCUUAGACCGCUCAAACGUGACAACCGGCCCGGAUGUUGCCUCUGGCUUGACACGCAAGUGGAUGGACGGACAACUUCCGACGCUGGAUGUCAACGAGGACGUGCUACCUGGUUGAUCCUGCCAGUAGUC
Molecule: unclassified non-coding RNA, 529 nt
Filed under: Avenula pubescens
Lineage: Eukaryota; Viridiplantae; Streptophyta; Magnoliopsida; Poales; Poaceae
Description: contains 3' external transcribed spacer, ETS
Source: RNAcentral